GACGAACGCUGGCGGCGUGCUUAACACAUGCAAGUCGAACGGAAAGGCCUGCUUUCCCUUGUGGAUUGCGGGUACUCGAGUGGCGAACGGGUGAGUAACACGUGAGUGAUCUGCCCCCAACUUGGGUAUAAGCCUGGGAAACUGGGUCUAAUUCCCGAUAGGACUGCAGGGUGGUGCCUGUGGUGGAAAACGAUUUUCUAGUGGUUGGGGAUGAGCUCGCGGCCUAUCAGCUUGUUGGUGGGGUAAUGGCCUACCAAGGCGGCGACGGGUAGCCGGCCUGAGAGGGUGGACGGCCACAUUGGGACUGAGAUACGGCCCAGACUCCUACGGGAGGCAGCAGUGGGGAAUAUUGCACAAUGGGCGGAAGCCUGAUGCAGCGACGCCGCGUGGGGGAUGACGGCCUUCGGGUGGUAAACUCCUUUCGACCGCGAGGAAGCCACCCGGUUGGAAGGGUGGUGACGGUAGUGGUAGAAGAAGCACCGGCUAACUACGUG
This 494-nucleotide ribosomal RNA is filed under the name uncultured bacterium. RNAcentral describes it as "partial 16S ribosomal RNA". It matches the Rfam family "Bacterial small subunit ribosomal RNA", at positions 28 to 507 of the family's 1533-position model. The record is from RNAcentral.